AAAAUUUGUAAACAAUGUCAAAAAUUAAAAUAUGUCAAUUUAAAAUAUUUUGUAUAUACCAAUUACUCAAUUAGUUGUUGCCUGUUGGUGUAGUAGUAACUGAGAUUUUACAUGUUAAGGAGAACUGCAUAUUCGAUCCCUCGCAACAACAAUUGGAAGCGAACUGAACAUAACAACCCAGCACUGAUCCCAAAUCCGAAUCAACCCAAAAGGUGAAUCGGGUGACACCACUUCGUAUAUCUAUACUUUGUACUUCAUACUAGUAUACUGCCUUACAAGGUAAAGGUAAGUUGAGGAUAGAGCUCGCCCCUCCUGAGGAGGGGUUUUAAUUCUUUCCUUUUUUCGUACCUUAAAAAAAAAUAAAAAAAUAAAAAAAUAAAAACAAAAACUCGAGGAUAGAGCUGGCCACAAGCUGAGCUAGUCAAAGUAGGUCCCGCUAAUUUCGGUUUGGAGUCAAAGAUUAAGGUCCCGCUAAUUUUGUUUUCGAGUCAAAACAGAAAAUUCAUUAAUUCCAAUUCCCCUUGUCUUCAAUUACUUCAAAUAACAAAGUCGAGCAAUAUCUCCGAAAAUUCGAGUGAAUAAUCAACCAUGGAAGAAGAGAGAGAGAUUAAUCCAUCCGAUAAACUGCUGCCGGAAUUAUGGAUGGAGAUCUUCUCAAAACUUCCAGCAAAAACUCUGCGAAAAUCAAGGUGUGUUUCCAAAUCAUGGCGCUCUUUAAUCGAUAACCCUAGUUUCAUUUCUAUGCAUAUCACCCAUUUCAAGAACAAUUCCAACAAACAUUUCGUUUUAUCCUAUGAAACCCAGAAUACAAUGUGGGUUUUAAAUCAAUUUGAAUUGAAGAUUAGGGUUCGAACAAUGGGUAAAUUUAGAAAACGUCAAGAAAUUUUGGGAACAACCUUUUUAUCAUCUGAGUAUCAUCUUGAUCAUAAGGGUUAUGUUGAUGGGUUGAUUUUAUUUGGUCAAUUAAUUGGCGAUAAAUAUGAUUUGUUCUUGUUUAAUCCUUCAAUUAGGAAGCGUAUGUUGUUACCCCAGAUACCCGUCCUGGUGGUCGUGCUGAUACUGUUAUUGGGUUUGAUCCUGUUAUUAAUGAUUAUAAGGUUGUUAUGAUUUUCUUCCCUUUCGUGUUGGCAGAGCUUGAGGGCUUGCUUCGAUUCUAGUUUACGAGCUUGGCACGGGCUGUUGGAGGGUUAAUGUUGGUGUUGAGGUUCCAAUUAUGUGGUAUUUUGGAGAUAAAGUGUUAGCUAGAGGUGUUAUGCAUUGGAUAUCAUUUAGUCUUGAUGAGCGUCCAUUGCGUACGAAUUAUACCCAUAUUGUUUCCUUUGAUUUUGGUAGUGAGACGUUUAGCUACACGGAGUUGCCUGGUGAUCGAUGGAGUGAUAAGGAUAAAUUCACUUGGCCUUUCCGUCUAGGUGAUCAAUUUGCUGUCUUGGAUGUUGCUCGUGCGAGUGUUUGCAUAUGGGUGUUGAAGAAGUGUGGGGGAAGUAGGAUGGAAGCGUGGAGUAAAUGGUAUCAUACUACAGAUUCAGGCACGUAUAAGUUUUUUCUGAAGCACAAAGCUGUAAAAAAUUUGAUAUAUAUCGAGAGUAUCCACAAGUUUCUUUUGGAGGUGAAUGGAGUAGUGAAAUCUUAUGACUUGGAGAGCCAUAAGAUGAAGAAUCUUGAGGUUACUGAUUGUCACUAUGUUAUGGAUCCUUACGUGGAGAGUUUACUGCUGUGCGAAGGAUUGAAUGAUCGGGUUUUCAACAAAAAUAAUGGAGUAGGGUGGUUUUGGCUGAGCAGCAGGGGAAAAAAUGGUAUGGCAUUAGACUGCUUGUUUAAUUGUUAUCUUCAAUCUUUUAGAAAAUAAAUUACUUUACAAAUUUGAAUUUACAGUGCUGUUGGCCUGUUGCAUCUUCUAUGCUAAUAUUGCAAUUGUGUUGGUAGCAUGAGUAGCAUAUAUAGCAAUUUUCCAUCAUUCGAUUGGGUAAUCAACAUCUUUUCCGUCAUUUUGUUGUGGCACUACAUUUGAAGCAGAAUUUUGUGGCUUGGUGCUACUGAUGGAAGGGGAUUAACAGCUUAUGAUUAGGUGCUGAUGGAGCUAAAAAUUGUUGCAAUCUGACCAUCUGUUUGAUGAUCAAAGCCUACUUGGUAGAAGUUUUUCACCUCCAAUCAACACCAGAUUUGAUUUUGGAAAUUUAAUCUGCAUCAGACUUCCUCUUAUAGUACUAUGAUCAUGGUAAAAUAAUUGAUGUUUUUAACUGCUUUUCAUCUUUCCUAAAUAAUUCAUUUUAUGAGCCAGACUCCUCUAGAUCCUGGUACUGUUCCUUUUGGUAUUCUGCAGCAAUUUAAGUGAUGAGCAUUAUUAUUACUA
This is an RNA transcript of Chenopodium quinoa (quinoa), 2350 nucleotides long. It is a transcript of the gene named F-box protein CPR30-like, with no coding region annotated. The record is from RefSeq and is a predicted model, not a curated record. The transcript is spliced from 3 exons. NCBI's taxonomy places the organism in Eukaryota, Viridiplantae, Streptophyta, Magnoliopsida, Caryophyllales, Amaranthaceae.